RNAcentral lists this long non-coding RNA (680 nucleotides) under Chrysemys picta bellii (western painted turtle). RNAcentral's name for it is "lncRNA (ENSCPBG00000013843.1)". The record is from RNAcentral. Lineage: Eukaryota; Metazoa; Chordata; Testudines; Emydidae.
GACAGUGAUAGAUGUCUCUGGGGGGGACAGCAUCUCUCUUGGUAAACCUGAGGAGCCUUUGGCGUCUGAGAGUUUCUAGUUCAGAUGGUUGCCCAGACUGGUCUGGGGGGCUUACAUAUUAUAUGGCCACACUGCUCUGCUGCCCCAGGGCUAGCCAGGCACCCAGAGAGCCCCAUUCAAGCCCUCUGUCCAGCUGACACGCCUGCCAUUAAAGUUCUUCCCUAGACUGGAACUGCGGGAGUUAUGCUGAGGCCUGAGCAUCGCCCCCUGAGAACUACAACCCCCAGCGUACACCCGGGCCGGAUGGAAGGUGGGGCUGAAGUCAAACAUCCUGCUAAUUGAUAUUAAUGCUGUCCAAUCAGCGAGCCGGAAGGGCAAUGGCCUCGCCAAUGAUUGGGCGGCAGGGAUGGGCCGCGCCGCGCCGCCUCCGUGUGGAGUUUCUAGAUCGGCCCCUAAGGAGGGUGAGUAUCGCGGGCAGGGGCUGCUGGGACCGGGACCCAGGGGCGCCCGGCCGCCCGCUCUGUGCUGAGCCCCCAGGAACGUGCCGCGGAGCUGGGGCAGCAGAUCUGCAUUUUUAUUUGAAGUACUUUAUCUUUGUAAAGGGGGCUAGUGUCCUGAAUCCUUUUGUGACAGGUUUGGAAGAGCAACAUUCUAAGAUACUGAAAAAUCUGGACUUUUAA